This is a long non-coding RNA of Juglans regia (Persian walnut), 623 nucleotides long. RefSeq lists it as uncharacterized. The record is from RefSeq and is a predicted model, not a curated record. NCBI's taxonomy places the organism in Eukaryota, Viridiplantae, Streptophyta, Magnoliopsida, Fagales, Juglandaceae. The transcript is spliced from 3 exons.
UCAGCCAUGAAUAAGUUUCCCAAGUAGCGUCUGCCGCCUCUUGCCCGUGCCAGCAAACGAGCAACUCAGCUCUUGCCUUGUUCCCCGCCUUGACCAUGCGACGGCUGAGGACUUCCUUUGGUUCUAGCCGUAGAACCCCUUGGUCAUCUACUGGCUGUAGUGAAGAUCUAACUUGUAUGCUACCUCCCCAACACGUUGCAGCACUUGGAAUGGACCAAAGAACCGUGGUGCAAGCUUGAGGUUGCACCGAUGAGCUACAGUGGUUUGCCGAUACGGUUGUAAGCGCAGGGAAAUCCAACCUCACUGUGCGUGCUUGGACUUCACCCUGCUGUUGUUGAUGAAACUGCUGCUAGUGCGGAAACUGUUGUUGUUGAUGGAAUUAUUGUUGCUGAAACUGUUGUUGCUGUUGAAACUGCUGCUGUUGCUGCUGCUGUAAAUGCAAGUUUUCCUGGUCAUUUCCCCUGGUACACUCGAGAAAGACUCCCCAGAAUUCGAGCUGGGAUUUCCUAUUUUCAUCCCCGCUGUGAGGAUAGCUAGUUGCUGCAAAAUAGACUCAUUUUGCUUCUUUAAUGUUGCCAUAUCUAUAUCUAAAUGGGACAUUCUUGAAUCUGUGGACUUUUUAA